Xenopus laevis (African clawed frog) is the source of this 1363-nucleotide long non-coding RNA. RefSeq lists it as uncharacterized. The record is from RefSeq and is a predicted model, not a curated record. NCBI's taxonomy places the organism in Eukaryota, Metazoa, Chordata, Amphibia, Anura, Pipidae. The transcript has 2 exons.
CCCUCCACAAGCGAUCUUCUUGGCUAAAACGCGGGCACGCAAACCACCAGCGGGGCCCCUAGAAGGUGCGUGCCCUGGUGCAAUUGCACCCCCUGCUCCCCCGCUAGUUCCAUCACUGAAAGCCACUGAUUAAAUAAAAUAAAUAAGUAAUCCAAGAAAGGCAGAAAUGCUGCUCUUCAACACCUUCAUAUCAAGCAGCACUGAGGGUGACAGCUCUUGCAUUUUCCUUUUUGCAGGGCAUGCUGUGAAAUGUCCAUCUUUUUGGAGUUUGGUUAAUAUGCCAUUAUCUUCUAUGUCAAAUAACAAACCGCAAAAAGUAAGACCUGGCGGCAUCCAAUUAGCUGAGGGCUCCUCCAGAGGUGAAAGGUGGCUGUUAAAGGCAGAAGCAAGAGCUGAGACCAGGGAACCUAGCACUGGUUCUGGAUUUAGGGUGCUGAACGUGGCAAUUCACAACUUCUGAUGGCUAAAAACCAGACACACACCUCAUUGCUCAUACCCAGAGGUAUUAUCAAGGUGUGUGACAAGAUGAAUGAAAGACAAAGAGAACAAAAAUUGUACUACAACAUGCAAUCCAAAGUACUACCUGUUUUACAAGUAUGAAAUACUUUAAGGAUGCAAAGAGGACACACUUGGCAACUGGCAACAGUUGUGCAAAAGCAUAAUCAACCGAGAUCUUAUGUUGUUUAUACGCCUGAUGGAGAAUACAGGAGAAACAGAAAAAACCUGAGAAAAACACAGGAGAAUUUACUGCCACCUUCUGAUGAUGCAGAAACUGUGACAAACAAUGACCAAUGCAUGGACAGAACUGAGACAGUUCAAGGUUUACAAUCAUCUGACACUAUGCAACCUGAAAGCAAUGAAGCCAGUAAUCAUUCUGAUGUGUUUCUACCUCAGAAAAGUUCUCAAUCCUACAAAGCCAGAUCAGGGAGACAGAUCAAACUUCUCAUAAGAUACAGAGAGUAAUAAAGUGUACUUAUGCAUGAUAUGUUGAUGCAGUAAAUUGAUUUAUUUUUAUUAUAAAAUUUUCAAUGUUGAAUUAAGAAAAGCUGAAAUGUGAAGUAACAUGCAUGUCUUAAAUUUACUAUGUUUGCUGCAUACAUUAUUGAACAAUAGUGGAUUAUAUAUCUAUGCUGUGAAGAAUGUGUAUAAUACAUAUCAUUUGUUAAGAAGGGGGAUGUAGUAUAUCGGACUGUGUAUAAUACAUAUCAUUUGUUAAGAAGGGGGAUGUAGUAUAUCGGACUAUGUCAGCAUCUGUAGCAGCAGCACUGGACUAGCUAGUGAUGUAAUAGAGUAGUAUCUGGACAUACCCACAUAGGAGCGUACAUGUUAAGAGAAGCUCUGUAAUAAAAUUAAUUUCUGCUCA